This 341-nucleotide ribosomal RNA is filed under the name uncultured Geobacillus sp. RNAcentral describes it as "bacterial SSU rRNA". It matches the Rfam family "Bacterial small subunit ribosomal RNA", at positions 1037 to 1382 of the family's 1533-position model. The record is from RNAcentral. Lineage: Bacteria; Bacillati; Bacillota; Bacilli; Caryophanales; Anoxybacillaceae.
GGUGGUGCAUGGUUGUCGUCAGCUCGUGUCGUGAGAUGUGGUUAAGUCCGCAACGAGCGCAACCCUCGCCUCUAGUUGCCAGCAUUCGGUUGGGCACUCUAGAGGGACUGCCGGCGACAAGUCGGAGGAAGGUGGGGAUGACGUCAAAUCAUCAUGCCCCUUAUGACCUGGGCUACACACGUGCUACAAUGGGCGGUACAAAGGGCUGCGAACCCGCGAGGGGGAGCGAAUCCCAAAAAGCCGCUCUCAGUUCGGAUUGCAGGCUGCAACUCGCCUGCAUGAAGCCGGAAUCGCUAGUAAUCGCGGAUCAGCAUGCCGCGGUGAAUACGUUCCCGGGCCUU